AACGAACGCUGGCGGCAGGCUUAACACAUGCAAGUCGAACGCUCCGCAAGGGGGAGUGGCGCACGGGUGAGGAACACGUGGGGACCUGCCCUUUAGUUCGGAAUAACGUCGGGAAACUGGCGCUAAUACCGGAUACGCUCUUUGGUCUUGGUCGACCGAAGAGGAAAGAUUUAUCGCUAAAGGAUGAACCCGCGUAAGAUUAGCUAGUUGGUGGGGUAAAGGCCUACCAAGGCGACGAUCUUUAGCUGGUCGAGAGGACGAUCAGCCACACUGGAACUGAGACACGGUCCAGACUCCUACGGGAGGCAGCAGUGGGGAAUAUUGGACAAUGGGCGAAAGCCUGAUCCAGCCAUGCCGCGUGAGUGAUGAA
Molecule: ribosomal RNA, 370 nt
Filed under: uncultured bacterium
Lineage: Bacteria
Description: bacterial SSU rRNA
Rfam family: Bacterial small subunit ribosomal RNA
Source: RNAcentral